This 225-nucleotide long non-coding RNA is filed under the name Musa acuminata (dwarf banana). RNAcentral's name for it is "long non-coding RNA (MACU_LNC001288)". The record is from RNAcentral. Lineage: Eukaryota; Viridiplantae; Streptophyta; Magnoliopsida; Zingiberales; Musaceae.
CAUCAAUUAAAUUUGUUACCUCUUCUCCGAUGGCCAUUAAGGCGUAAUGAGAAACUUGCUCGGUGUUGGACUCCUCUUCUUCUAACGCGCUCGAGUCAUCCCACGUCGCUUUGAGCGUAUUCUUGUUUGAUGUUCUCUUCUUGGCUUGGGGAUAAUCACUUUUGUAAUGUCCCGGCUUUUUGCACUCAUAGCAAAUAACUUGGUCCUUUUUGGGUUCAAGUUUAU